This 495-nucleotide ribosomal RNA is filed under the name uncultured bacterium. RNAcentral describes it as "partial 16S ribosomal RNA". It matches the Rfam family "Bacterial small subunit ribosomal RNA", at positions 28 to 507 of the family's 1533-position model. The record is from RNAcentral.
GACGAACGCUGGCGGCGUGCCUAAUACAUGCAAGUAGAACGCUGAAGGAGGAGCUUGCUUCUCUGGAUGAGUUGCGAACGGGUGAGUAACGCGUAGGUAACCUGCCUGGUAGCGGGGGAUAACUAUUGGAAACGAUAGCUAAUACCGCAUAAUAGUAGAUGUUGCAUGACAUUUGCUUAAAAGGUGCAAUUGCAUCACUACCAGAUGGACCUGCGUUGUAUUAGCUAGUUGGUGAGGUAACGGCUCACCAAGGCGACGAUACAUAGCCGACCUGAGAGGGUGAUCGGCCACACUGGGACUGAGACACGGCCCAGACUCCUACGGGAGGCAGCAGUAGGGAAUCUUCGGCAAUAGACGGAAGUCUGACCGAGCAACGCCGCGGGAGUGAAGAAGGUUUUCGGAUCGUAAAGCUCUGUUGUAAGAGAAGAACGAGUGUGAGAGUGGAAAGUUCACACUGUGACGGUAUCUUACCAGAAAGGGACGGCUAACUACGUG